Molecule: long non-coding RNA, 633 nt
Organism: Phacochoerus africanus (Common warthog)
Lineage: Eukaryota; Metazoa; Chordata; Mammalia; Artiodactyla; Suidae
Exons: 2
Source: RefSeq, a predicted model, not a curated record
AGAGCGCGGAGCGGGGCGCAGAGCAGAAGCACCAGCAGUGUGAUGACAAUCGGAUCGAUUCCGCACCUCCCAGCCCGGUAGCUGCGUUGCUCCGACGCUCUCCUGCAGUCGUCGUGGCAGCUCUGGCUCCGGGUCCCCGAUUGGUCACAGCCCUUUGGGCGCAGCCCCUCUAGUCUGAGGCCGGAACACUCUGCCCGCGCAGCUCUGCUGCGCCCCGGCAGAAGGCGGGCAAAAUCGCCACAGCAACGCUGGCCUCAGGCUUCCAACUGGGUACCCGUGUUGGUCGCCUUUGCUGCUCCCGAACCAGGCCCUGGCGGAGGGGAUCCAACGAGUGUUCCCUUGGCCUGAAUACAAGAGGGUGCCCCGACGGGUGAGCAGAGGCCCCCUUCCGAGGAGAGCCUGGUUGGAUCCUGGUGCAGCAGAGCUUCCAGGGGAAGAAGAGAACUGGGGGAGGGCCUGGAAAAGGUUGGGGGAGCUGGGGGCGCCACGAGCGUGGAGGGAGGCAGUGUUGACUGGAUGAUGGCUCUUAGCCCUCCGGACAUCAUCACCAUGCGACGUCCCUUGUUCCCAAAGUAUCCCCGGUGUGCCCUUGGUACGCAGCAGGCACUCAAUAAAUACUUGUGAAUGAACGAA